Molecule: non-coding RNA, 125 nt
Organism: Brachypodium distachyon (stiff brome)
Lineage: Eukaryota; Viridiplantae; Streptophyta; Magnoliopsida; Poales; Poaceae
Source: Rfam
UAAUUACUCCCUCCGGCCGGAAUUACUUGUCGAAAUAUUACAUGUAUCUAGACGCUUUUUAAACAUAGAUACAUACAUAUUUGGACAAAUUUGAGACAAGUAAUAUGGAUCGGAGGGAGUAUUAU